AUCUGAAAAAGGCAAAUCUAUCGAAAGGUAGAGACGUAAAGCCAAGGGUCUAAGGUUGCAAAACUAUGACAGCCGGUUGCCAAA
RNAcentral lists this non-coding RNA (84 nucleotides) under Aneurinibacillus thermoaerophilus. RNAcentral's name for it is "GEMM cis-regulatory element". It matches the Rfam family "c-di-GMP-I riboswitch aptamer". Rfam says of the family: GEMM was predicted in a large-scale screen for bacterial structured RNA regulatory elements. Genes associated with GEMM are involved in a diverse array of functions, including chemotaxis regulation, signal transduction, secretion and chitin. The record is from RNAcentral. Lineage: Bacteria; Bacillati; Bacillota; Bacilli; Caryophanales; Paenibacillaceae. RNAcentral also lists the same sequence under 2 other names.